UACGUAGGGUGCGAGCGUUGUCCGGAAUUAUUGGGCGUAAUGAGCUUGUAGGCGGUUUGUCGCGUCUGCUGUGAAAAUCCGGGGCUCAACCCCGGACUUGCAGUGGGUACGGGCAGACUAGAGUGUGGUAGGGGAGACUGGAAUUCCUGGUGUAGCGGUGAAAUGCGCAGAUAUCAGGAGGAACACCGAUGGCGAAGGCAGGUCUCUGGGCCACUACUGACGCUGAGAAGCGAAAGCAUGGGGAGCGAACAGGAUUAGAUA
RNAcentral lists this ribosomal RNA (261 nucleotides) under uncultured prokaryote. RNAcentral's name for it is "partial 16S ribosomal RNA". It matches the Rfam family "Bacterial small subunit ribosomal RNA", at positions 524 to 784 of the family's 1533-position model. The record is from RNAcentral.